ACGCACGCUGGCGGCGUGCUUCACCCAUGCCAGUCGAACGGAAAGGCCCUGCUUUUGUGGGGUGCUCGAGUGGCGAACGGGUGAGUAACACGUGAGUAACCUGCCCUUGACUUUGGGAUAACUUCAGGAAACUGGGGCUAAUACCGGAUAGGAGCUCCUGCUGCAUGGUGGGGGUUGGAAAGUUUCGGCGGUUGGGGAUGGACUCGCGGCUUAUCAGCUUGUUGGUGGGGUAGUGGCUUACCAAGGCUUUGACGGGUAGCCGGCCUGAGAGGGUGACCGGCCACAUUGGGACUGAGAUACGGCCCAGACUCCUACGGGAGGCAGCAGUGGGGAAUAUUGCACAAUGGGCGGAAGCCUGAUGCAGCAACGCCGCGUGCGGGAUGACGGCCUUCGGGUUGUAAACCGCCUUCGCCUGUGACGAAGCGUGAGUGACGGUAAUGGGUAAAGAAGCACCGGCUAACUACGUG
Molecule: ribosomal RNA, 467 nt
Filed under: uncultured bacterium
Lineage: Bacteria
Description: partial 16S ribosomal RNA
Rfam family: Bacterial small subunit ribosomal RNA
Source: RNAcentral